GCCAGUGUGGUGUAGUGGUUUGAGCGAUGGACUACAACUCUGGAGAUCAGGGUUCAAUUCCCCUCUUGGCA
This 71-nucleotide transfer RNA is filed under the name Phrynosoma platyrhinos (Desert horned lizard). RNAcentral describes it as "tRNA-OTHER". The record is from RNAcentral. Lineage: Eukaryota; Metazoa; Chordata; Lepidosauria; Squamata; Phrynosomatidae.